RNAcentral lists this ribosomal RNA (690 nucleotides) under uncultured Acidobacteriota bacterium. RNAcentral's name for it is "bacterial SSU rRNA". It matches the Rfam family "Bacterial small subunit ribosomal RNA", at positions 15 to 684 of the family's 1533-position model. Lineage: Bacteria; Pseudomonadati; Acidobacteriota. The record is from RNAcentral.
GAUCCUGGCUCAGAAUCAACGCUGGCGGCGUGCCUAACACAUGCAAGUCGAACGCGAAAGCCCCGCAAGGGGUAAGUAGAGUGGCAAACGGGUGAGUAACACGUGGGUGACCUGCCUUCGAGUGGGGGAUAACGUCCCGAAAGGGACGCUAAUACCGCAUGACAUCCUGCUCUUGGACGAGCGGAGAUCAAAGCUGGGGAUCGCAAGACCUGGCGCUUGAAGAGGGGCCCGCGCCUGAUUAGCUAGUUGGUGAGGUAACGGCUCACCAAGGCGACGAUCAGUAUCCGGCCUGAGAGGGCGGACGGACACACUGGGACUGAGACACGGCCCAGACUCCUACGGGAGGCAGCAGUGGGGAAUUGUUCGCAAUGGGCGCAAGCCUGACGACGCAACGCCGCGUGGAGGACGAAGAUUUUCGGAUCGUAAACUCCUGUCGAGCGGGAAGAAAAGCUGUGGAGCGAAUAGCUCCAGAGCCUGACGGUACCGCUAAAGGAAGCCCCGGCUAACUCCGUGCCAGCAGCCGCGGUAAUACGGGGGGGGCAAGCGUUGUUCGGAAUUACUGGGCGUAAAGGGCUCGUAGGCGGCCAACUAAGUCGGAUGUGAAAUCCCCAGGCUUAACCUGGGAACUGCAUCCGAUACUGGAUGGCUUGAAUCCGGGAGAGGGAUGCAGAAUUCCAGGUGUAGCGGUGA